GCAGCUAGCCAGUGAUGGCAUGCGAAUCUCGAAAGCCUAUCUCAGUUCGGAUUGGAGGCUGAAACCCGCCUCCAUGAAGUUGGAUUCGCUAGUAAUCGCGCAUCAGCCAUGGCGCGGUGAAUACGUUCCCGGGCCUUGUACACACCGCCCGUCAAGCCAUGGGAGCCGGGGGUGCCUGAAGUUCGUUACCGCAAGGAUCGACCUAGGGCAAAACUGGUGACUGGGGCUAAGUCGUAACAAGGUAUC
This 246-nucleotide ribosomal RNA is filed under the name uncultured bacterium. Its description in RNAcentral is "partial 16S ribosomal RNA". It matches the Rfam family "Bacterial small subunit ribosomal RNA", at positions 1246 to 1500 of the family's 1533-position model. The record is from RNAcentral.